UGGGUUGUGGCUCAGUGGUAGAGUGCUCAUCUAGCACGUGCGAGGCCCUGGGUUCUAUCCUCAGCACCACAU
This is a non-coding RNA of Ictidomys tridecemlineatus (thirteen-lined ground squirrel), 72 nucleotides long. Lineage: Eukaryota; Metazoa; Chordata; Mammalia; Rodentia; Sciuridae. The record is from Rfam.